GAUGAACGCUAGCGGCAGGCUUAAUACAUGCAAGUCGAGGGGCAUCAAGGUACACGAAAGUGUAUUGUUGGCGACCGGCGGACGGGUGAGUAAUAGGUAGGUAACCUACCUCAUACUGAGGCAUAGCUGGGAGAAAUUCCAGGUAAUUCCUCAUGAGGUUAUAUGACGACAUGUGAUAUAAUCAAAGGUAUCGCAAGGUACUGGUAUGAGAUGGGCUUACUGACCAUUAGCUAGUUGGUGAGAUAAGAGCUCACCAAGGCGAAGAUGGUUAGGGGUUUUGAGAGAGAGAUCCCCCAAUUGGAACUGAGAUACGGUCCAGACUCCUACGGGAGGCAGCAGUAGGGAAUAUUGGGCAAUGGGCGGAAGCCUGACCCAGCCAUGCCGCGUGAAGGAAGACGGCCUUAUGGGUUGUAAACUUCUUUACUAUGCGACUAACUAGAUUUACGAGAUAAUUCUAUAGAAUGUAGCAUAGCAAAAGCACCGG
Molecule: ribosomal RNA, 484 nt
Filed under: uncultured bacterium
Lineage: Bacteria
Description: bacterial SSU rRNA
Rfam family: Bacterial small subunit ribosomal RNA
Source: RNAcentral